RNAcentral lists this ribosomal RNA (162 nucleotides) under uncultured bacterium. RNAcentral describes it as "partial 16S ribosomal RNA". It matches the Rfam family "Bacterial small subunit ribosomal RNA", at positions 354 to 507 of the family's 1533-position model. The record is from RNAcentral.
GUGGGGAAUAUUGCACAAUGGGGGAAACCCUGAUGCAGCCAUGCCGCGUGUAUGAAGAAGGCCUUCGGGUUGUAAAGUACUUUCAGUUGUGAGGAAGGCGUUGGAGCUAAUACGCUUCGACGAUUGRCCUUUACUCGCGAAGAAGCACCCGGUAACUCCUGG